UGGACGCACACUGAGCUGCUCUAAUCUCGCC
Molecule: non-coding RNA, 31 nt
Filed under: Homo sapiens (human)
Lineage: Eukaryota; Metazoa; Chordata; Mammalia; Primates; Hominidae
Source: RNAcentral